Molecule: non-coding RNA, 135 nt
Organism: Triticum aestivum (bread wheat)
Lineage: Eukaryota; Viridiplantae; Streptophyta; Magnoliopsida; Poales; Poaceae
Source: Rfam
UUAAUACUCCCUCCGUCCCAAAAUACUUAUCUUAGAUUUGUCUAAAUAUGGAUGUAUCAAGUCAUGUUUUAGUAUUAAAUACAUCCAUAUCUAGACAAAUCUAAAACAAGAAUUUUAGGACGGAGGGAGUACCAG